This 460-nucleotide ribosomal RNA is filed under the name uncultured bacterium. Its description in RNAcentral is "partial 16S ribosomal RNA". It matches the Rfam family "Bacterial small subunit ribosomal RNA", at positions 338 to 795 of the family's 1533-position model. The record is from RNAcentral.
CCUACGGGAGGCAGCAGUGAGGAAUAUUGGUCAAUGGACGAGAGUCUGAACCAGCCAAGUAGCGUGAAGGAUGACUGCCCUAUGGGUUGUAAACUUCUUUUAUAUGGGAAUAAAAUGUUCCACGUGUGGGAUUUUGUAUGUACCAUAUGAAUAAGGAUCGGCUAACUCCGUGCCAGCAGCCGCUGUAAUAUGGUGGAUCCGAGCGUUAUCCGGAUUUAUUGGGUUUAAGGGGAGCGUAGGUGGAGUGUUAAGUCAGUUGUGAAAGUUUGCGGCUCAACCGUAAAAUUGCAGUUGAUACUGGCAGUCUUGAGUACAGUAGAGGUGGGCGGAAUUCGUGGUGUAGCGGUGAAAUGCUUAGAUAUCACGAAGAACUCCGAUUGCGAAGGCAGUUCACUGGACUGCAACUGACACUGAGGCUCGAAAGUGUGGGUAUCAAACAGGAUUAGAUACCCUUGUAGUC